Molecule: ribosomal RNA, 902 nt
Filed under: Salmonella enterica subsp. enterica serovar Muenster
Lineage: Bacteria; Pseudomonadati; Pseudomonadota; Gammaproteobacteria; Enterobacterales; Enterobacteriaceae
Description: partial 23S ribosomal RNA
Rfam family: Bacterial large subunit ribosomal RNA
Source: RNAcentral
AUUGAACUCGCUGUGAAGAUGCAGUGUACCCGCGGCAAGACGGAAAGACCCCGUGAACCUUUACUAUAGCUUGACACUGAACAUUGAGCCUUGAUGUGUAGGAUAGGUGGGAGGCUUUGAAGUGUGGACGCCAGUCUGCAUGGAGCCGACCUUGAAAUACCACCCUUUAAUGUUUGAUGUUCUAACGUGGACCCGUAAUCCGGGUUGCGGACAGUGUCUGGUGGGUAGUUUGACUGGGGCGGUCUCCUCCUAAAGAGUAACGGAGGAGCACGAAGGUUGGCUAAUCCUGGUCGGACAUCAGGAGGUUAGUGCAAUGGCAUAAGCCAGCUUGACUGCGAGCGUGACGGCGCGAGCAGGUGCGAAAGCAGGUCAUAGUGAUCCGGUGGUUCUGAAUGGAAGGGCCAUCGCUCAACGGAUAAAAGGUACUCCGGGGAUAACAGGCUGAUACCGCCCAAGAGUUCAUAUCGACGGCGGUGUUUGGCACCUCGAUGUCGGCUCAUCACAUCCUGGGGCUGAAGUAGGUCCCAAGGGUAUGGCUGUUCGCCAUUUAAAGUGGUACGCGAGCUGGGUUUAGAACGUCGUGAGACAGUUCGGUCCCUAUCUGCCGUGGGCGCUGGAGAACUGAGGGGGGCUGCUCCUAGUACGAGAGGACCGGAGUGGACGCAUCACUGGUGUUCGGGUUGUCAUGCCAAUGGCACUGCCCGGUAGCUAAAUGCGGAAGAGAUAAGUGCUGAAAGCAUCUAAGCACGAAACUUGCCCCGAGAUGAGUUCUCCCUGAGACUUAGAGUCUCCUGAAGGAACGUUGAAGACGACGACGUUGAUAGGCCGGGUGUGUAAGCGCAGCGAUGCGUUGAGCUAACCGGUACUAAUGAACCGUGAGGCUUAACCUUACAACGCCGAAG